GGAAGAAAGGAUGAGAUUGAGAGGGAAGAUGAGAGGGGAGGAUAUGAAGUAGGAGUAGAAAAAGUGAAAACAAAAACAAAAACAAAAACAAAAAACUGAAAUCUAUUUGAAAUAGUUUUCACUUUCAAAAUUUUGUUUUCACUUUUGUUACUCCUCCCUCCCAUCCUCCCCUCUCAUCAUCUCUCUCAAUCUCAUCCUCACUCUCA
Molecule: microRNA precursor, 206 nt
Filed under: Prunus dulcis (almond)
Lineage: Eukaryota; Viridiplantae; Streptophyta; Magnoliopsida; Rosales; Rosaceae
Description: sRNA ncRNA
Source: RNAcentral